GUCUGUUUAGUCUAACGGUUUAGGACGUUACCCUUUCACGGUAAAAAUACGAGUUCAAUUCUCGUAACAGAUA
This 73-nucleotide transfer RNA is filed under the name Cafileria marina. RNAcentral's name for it is "tRNA-Glu". It matches the Rfam family "tRNA". From Rfam's summary of the family: Transfer RNA (tRNA) molecules are approximately 80 nucleotides in length. Their secondary structure includes four short double-helical elements and three loops (D, anti-codon, and T loops). Lineage: Eukaryota; Bigyra; Bicosoecida. The record is from RNAcentral.